ACCAGACUCCUACGGGAGGCAGCAGUGGGGAAUAUUGCACAAUGGGGGAAACCCUGAUGCAGCGACGCCGCGUGAGUGAAGAAGUAUUUCGGUAUGUAAAGCUCUAUCAGCAGGGAAGAAAAUGACGGUACCUGACUAAGAAGCUCCGGCUAAAUACGUGCCAGCAGCCGCGGUAAUACGUAUGGAGCAAGCGUUAUCCGGAUUUACUGGGUGUAAAGGGAGCGCAGGCGGUCCGGCAAGUCUGAUGUGAAAGGCGGGGGCUCAACCCCCGGACUGCAUUGGAAACUGUCGGGCUGGAGUGUCGGAGGGGCAGGCGGAAUUCCUAGUGUAGCGGUGAAAUGCGUAGAUAUUAGGAGGAACACCAGUGGCGAAGGCGGCUUACUGGACUGUAACUGACGUUGAGGCUCGAAAGCGUGGGGAGCAAACAGGAUUAGAUACCCUCGUACGG
RNAcentral lists this ribosomal RNA (448 nucleotides) under uncultured bacterium. RNAcentral describes it as "bacterial SSU rRNA". It matches the Rfam family "Bacterial small subunit ribosomal RNA", at positions 330 to 793 of the family's 1533-position model. The record is from RNAcentral.